UUUGAGCUUUUGCAAAAGUGGGUCAAAUUUUGCGUUUUUUCAAAUUCGGUCUGAUUUUUCAGCAAACUAGCCAAAAUACUUUUUUACCUUUUUCUCUUUCCUCUUUUUUUUCUCGUUCUUUUUUUCUUUCUCUUUCCAGAGAGCGGCGGAGGCGGAGGUGGAGGCGGAGGCGGCCCGUUUUGGUUUUAUCCGGCACAUCCUUACCCUCGUCCGCGCAUCCCCCGCCUUCCUCGCCUCCGACCCCGCCGAGGCCGUGCUACAACUUUUUUUUUUCCCCCUCUCCGAUCCUCCUCCACCGCCUCCUCCGACGACGUCUAUCUCACCCUCUCUCGCUCUUCCCCCCCUUUCCCUCUCCCUCAUUUUUUGCCUCCUUCGCUGCCUCCGACGACGAC
This 392-nucleotide long non-coding RNA is filed under the name Ananas comosus (pineapple). Its description in RNAcentral is "long non-coding RNA (ACOM_LNC027579)". The record is from RNAcentral. Lineage: Eukaryota; Viridiplantae; Streptophyta; Magnoliopsida; Poales; Bromeliaceae.